Molecule: ribosomal RNA, 627 nt
Filed under: Neogloea sp. TUB Chen1178
Lineage: Eukaryota; Fungi; Basidiomycota; Atractiellomycetes; Atractiellales; Helicogloeaceae
Description: LSU rRNA
Rfam family: Eukaryotic large subunit ribosomal RNA
Source: RNAcentral
UCAAUAAGCGGAGGAAAAGAAACUAACAAGGAUUCCCCUAGUAACGGCGAGUGAAGCGGGAAGAGCUCAAAUUUGUAAUCUGGCCGUUUCGCGGUCCGAGUUGUAAGCUAAAGAAGUGUUAUCCGCGCCGGACCACCUAUGAGUCUGUUGGAAUAUAGCGUCAUAGAGGGUGAGAACCCCGUUCAUGAUGUGGACUACCGGUGCUUUGUGUUACACUUUCGAAGAGUCGAGUUGUUUGGGAAUGCAGCUCAAAUUGGGUGGUAAAUUCCAUCUAAAGCUAAAUAUUGGUGGGAGACCGAUAGCGAACAAGUACCGUGAGGGAAAGAUGAAAAGCACUUUGGAAAGAGAGUCAAAUAGUACGUGAAAUUGUUGAAAGGGAAACGCUUGAAGUCAGACGUGCUUGCGGGGUUCAGCCUCUGGGUGUAUUCCUCCGCUUUGCAGGCUAGCAUCGGUUCUGCCGUCUGGAUAAGGGCUUGGGGAAGGUGGCACCUCCGGGUGUGUUAUAGCCCCUCGCUUGAUGCAGUCGGUGGGACCGAGGAUCGCAGCGCGCCCUUGUGGCAUUGGCCUCGGCCUUUCCGCGCUUAGGAUGCUGGUGUAAUGGCUUUAAACGACCGUCUUGAAACACGG